CAACCUGGGAACUGCAUUGGUGACUGGCAGGCUAGAGUAUGGCAGAGGGGGGUAGAAUUCCACGUGUAGCAGUGAAAUGCGUAGAGAUGUGGAGGAAUACCGAUGGCGAAGGCAGCCCCCUGGGCCAAUAAAGACGCUCAUGCACGAAAGCGUGGGGAGCAAACAGGAUUAGAUACCCUGGUAGUCCACGCCCUAAACGAUGUCAACUAGUUGUUGGGGAUUCAUUUCCUUAGUAACGUAGCUAACGCGUGAAGUUGACCGCCUGGGGAGUACGGUCGCAAGAUUAAAACUCAAAGGAAUUGACGGGGACCCGCACAAGCGGUGGAUGAUGUGGAUUAAUUCGAUGCAACGCGAAAAACCUUACCUACCCUUG
Molecule: ribosomal RNA, 373 nt
Filed under: Burkholderia sp. CK59
Lineage: Bacteria; Pseudomonadati; Pseudomonadota; Betaproteobacteria; Burkholderiales; Burkholderiaceae
Also listed under: 1 other name
Description: bacterial SSU rRNA
Rfam family: Bacterial small subunit ribosomal RNA
Source: RNAcentral